UACGUAGGGUCCAAGCGUUAUCCGGAAUCACUGGGCGUAAAGCGUGCGUAGGCGGCGUGUUAAGUGUGAUGUUAAAUCGUGGGGCUCAACCCUGUCGGUGCAUCACAUACUGGCAUGCUAGAGGAAGGCAGAGGCAAGUGGAAUUUGUAGUGUAGCAGUGAAAUGCGUAGAUAUUACAAGGAACACCAAUGGCGAAGGCAGCUUGCUGGGCCUUUUCUGACGCUGAGGUACGAAAGCGCGGGGAGCGAACAGG
RNAcentral lists this ribosomal RNA (253 nucleotides) under uncultured bacterium. RNAcentral describes it as "partial 16S ribosomal RNA". It matches the Rfam family "Bacterial small subunit ribosomal RNA", at positions 524 to 776 of the family's 1533-position model. The record is from RNAcentral.